This is a long non-coding RNA of Rhipicephalus sanguineus (brown dog tick), 565 nucleotides long. RefSeq lists it as uncharacterized. The transcript is spliced from 4 exons. The record is from RefSeq and is a predicted model, not a curated record. NCBI's taxonomy places the organism in Eukaryota, Metazoa, Arthropoda, Arachnida, Ixodida, Ixodidae.
AAAUUAUUAUUUCGUUACUAGAAGCCAGGCAUCCAAGCGCGCAAAAACGGCGCUGAUUACAUGAUUACUCAACUAUAUUAGUCCUGCGAGGAAAUUCACGUAGCUCUACUGAGGUCGGAAGAACAUUGUGUUGUGUCCGCAAUUCUCCGUAUACACUGAACUUUCACUUUUCAGAAUGAAAGCAGUAUUUUUAAACUUAUGAUAAUUGUGAAGAUACAAGUGUCUGACGCAAGCGGCUUUUCUCAAGAGGUUUGACGUAGCUGAUCAACGUCUGAUUGCAUGUGACCGUACUUAAUAUUGGUGGGCAAACUCUUCAAUAGCUAGGUCAAAUCGGUUUGCCAGAUAAAGAUAACAGCCGAUCAGGGGCAUCAUGGUCUCCUUCUUUAUAUUACUUCUGCUUCCUGCUAUGUGUCAUGCGGGUGCCUCAAAAGGUUGCAAGGAUGUGAAAGGUGCGUGGCACCCUGAUGGGGCACCUUGUUUGGCAGGGAUACUAGAAAAUCCAGUUGGCGAAUAUAAAUGUGCCGUUGGGCAAUGCUAUGAUGGUGGCUGUAAAAUAGUGAAAAUU